This 167-nucleotide non-coding RNA is filed under the name Clostridium celatum. Its description in RNAcentral is "T-box sequence". It matches the Rfam family "T-box leader". Rfam says of the family: Uncharged tRNA acts as the effector for transcription antitermination of genes in the T-box leader family. Lineage: Bacteria; Bacillati; Bacillota; Clostridia; Eubacteriales; Clostridiaceae. The record is from RNAcentral.
AUAUACGCAAUGAUAAAGAAGAGUAAUUUUAUUUAUCUUUUCAGAGAGAUGAUGGUUGGUGUAAAUCAUUAAGAUAGUAAGAUGAAAGGAGCUUUUGAGUGUAAUUUAUGAAAGUUGGGCUUUAGCCAAGAAGGGUGGAACCGCGGAAAGUUAUUUUCGUCCCUUUG